RNAcentral lists this ribosomal RNA (232 nucleotides) under uncultured bacterium. RNAcentral's name for it is "partial 16S ribosomal RNA". It matches the Rfam family "Bacterial small subunit ribosomal RNA", at positions 524 to 754 of the family's 1533-position model. The record is from RNAcentral.
UACAGAGGGGGCAAGCGUUGUUCGGAAUUACUGGGCGUAAAGGGCGCGUAGGUGGCCUUCUAAGUUGAACGUGAAAUCCCUGGGCUCAACCCAGGAACUGCGUCCAAGACUGGGAGGCUUGAAUCCGGGAGAGGGAUGCGGAAUUCCAGGUGUAGCGGUGAAAAUGCGUAGAUAUCUGGAGGAACACCGGUGGCGAAGGCGGCAUCCUGGACCGGUAUUGACGCUGAGGAGC